RNAcentral lists this ribosomal RNA (333 nucleotides) under uncultured bacterium. RNAcentral's name for it is "partial 16S ribosomal RNA". It matches the Rfam family "Bacterial small subunit ribosomal RNA", at positions 338 to 682 of the family's 1533-position model. The record is from RNAcentral.
CCUACGGGUGGCAGCAGUCGAGAAUCAUUCACAAUGGGGGAAACCCUGAUGGGGCGACGCCGCGUGGGGGAAUGAAGGUCUGCGGAUUGUAAACCCCUGUCAUGUGGGAGCAAAUUAAAAAGAGAGUACCACAAGAGGAAGAGACGGCUAACUCUGUGCCAGCAGCCGCGGUAAUACAGAGGUCGCAAGCGUUGUUCGGAACCACUGGGCGUAACGCGUGCGUAGGCUGUUUCGUAAGUCGGGAGUGAAAGGCGCGGGCUCAACCCGCGGACGGCACAUGAUACUGCGAGACUAGAGUAAUGUAGCGGUAACCGGAAUUCUCGGUGUAGCCGU